This 464-nucleotide long non-coding RNA is filed under the name Brachypodium distachyon (stiff brome). RNAcentral describes it as "long non-coding RNA (BDIS_LNC005216)". The record is from RNAcentral. Lineage: Eukaryota; Viridiplantae; Streptophyta; Magnoliopsida; Poales; Poaceae.
UGGAUUCAAGCGCGGCUUCGAUGUAGUCCUGCAGGUACUGCGACCUGAACUCGUCGUCGUAGGUGUUCCCGCCCGAGGGGUCAGGCAUGCUCGCAGCUCCUGAUACGAGCACCAGGAUCGAAUCAGAUGUCGUGUGGUGUAUUUAAUUUUUUGCAGUGAAAUGUUGCUGAUUUCUUGGGAUGAUGCAUGUUUCAGGUUAACUGUAGAGUUGGUGAGUUUACCGUUCUCGUGGAUCAUGACCACCGGGUUCUUGUAUUUCAACUGCAGAUGCCCCAGCAUUUUCUUCAGAGCCCAUGGCGUCGACGUCAUGAUGUCACUUUUCAACCCGAACAGGAACGGCUGUAUUUUAAUUUUGUCCGCAGAGGCAGAGAAAUGAUUUAGCUAUAUCAAUAAAGGAAGAUUUUAUAGUAACUUAUGGUCGCAUAAAAUUAAAUAUAUGGAGUGGAUUGUAUUGUAUUCGGCAG